UACGGAGGAUGCGAGCGUUAUCCGGAUUUAUUGGGUUUAAAGGGUGCGUAGGCGGCUUUUUAAGUCAGCGGUGAAAUUUUGCAGCUUAACUGUAACAGUGCCGUUGAUACUGGGGAGCUAGGAUUUGGUUGCUGUGGGUGGAAUGUGUGGUGUAGCGGUGGAAUGCGCAGAGAUCAGGAGGAAUACCGAAGGCGAAGGCAGUCUUCCAAGCCGUUAUUGACGCUCAACUGCGAAGGUGUGGGUAUCAAACAGGAUUAGAUACCCGUGUAGU
Molecule: ribosomal RNA, 271 nt
Filed under: uncultured prokaryote
Description: partial 16S ribosomal RNA
Rfam family: Bacterial small subunit ribosomal RNA
Source: RNAcentral